UAAAUUGAAUAGUCGCUGGUAAAUUCCGAAAGGAAUUACGAGAGGAAAGUCCGGGCUCCAUAGAGCAAAGAUGCUAGAUAACGUCUAGUGAGGGUAACCUUAAGGAAAGUGCAACAGAAAAGAACCGCCAAAAAUGGUAAGGGUGAAAAGGCGAGGUAAGAGCUCACCAGCAUUAUGGUAACAUAGUGUGUUUGUGUAAACCCCAUCUGGAGCAACACCUAAAAUAGAAGAUUAAGCCUGCUCGGCGCCUUCUAAAAUUGAAAGUGGCUUGAGAUAAAUAGCAAUAUUUAUCCUAGAUAAAUGACUAUUUUAAAUGACAGAACCCGGCUUACAGAUUUACUCUU
This 344-nucleotide RNase P RNA is filed under the name chicken gut metagenome. RNAcentral describes it as "Bacterial RNase P class A". It matches the Rfam family "Bacterial RNase P class A". Rfam says of the family: Ribonuclease P (RNase P) is a ubiquitous endoribonuclease, found in archaea, bacteria and eukarya as well as chloroplasts and mitochondria. Its best characterised activity is the generation of mature 5'-ends of tRNAs by cleaving the 5'-leader elements of precursor-tRNAs. Cellular RNase Ps are ribonucleoproteins. The record is from RNAcentral.